Rosa rugosa (rugosa rose) is the source of this 679-nucleotide long non-coding RNA. RefSeq lists it as uncharacterized. The record is from RefSeq and is a predicted model, not a curated record. The transcript has 2 exons. NCBI's taxonomy places the organism in Eukaryota, Viridiplantae, Streptophyta, Magnoliopsida, Rosales, Rosaceae.
AAUAUCGAAGCAAAGCCCUCUCUCUCUCUAGAUGAAGUUCUUGAGCUCAGGACCUGCCCACGCAUUCGAUCUUCCUUCUUCCAAGAUCAAAUUGAUUUCAUCUCAGAGUCCAUGGAUUAUCUCCCUCACUGCCUCUCUGUUUUUCCAGCGACCUCUCUCUGAAACCUCUCUCCGUCCCCGAAAGAUCGGCGUCCGAUUCAAGCAUUUCCUUCCUCAAAUGCAUAGCUCGCUCGCAGCGAUUCGUGCAUAGCUCGACCUCCUUUAUUAAAGUUGUGGAUUCGAUUUGCUUCUCAGUUUUCUAGGUCUGAGCAUUCUGGUAAGCAAGCCUGAAUCAACCAAUUUUCAUGUCUGAGCUCGACGUCCAGAUUCCUACUGCCUUUGGUAUGUUUCAUUGUAUAUCACUUGUGUGAUUAUGCACUUGCAGGGAUGGUUGCGAAUAUGUAUAUGAAUUUAUUAAGGGAUGUUGUUUCAUAGCUUUGGUCCUAGUUUAGUCUGAAAAAUUGGAUGCCUAGAUGCGUAGAUGGAUCGUUUUUAGGUGACGUUAUUCAAGUAUGAUGGUUUUUCUUUGUUUUUGUUUAGAGUCAAGAGUGAUGAGUUAGGUCUGGCUUGUUAGUUUCAAGUGAUUCUUUGUAAUUAGAAUUUAUAAAUAGAAACUGUGUGGUAGAGAAUGUUUUGUAUU